CUCUGCUGUACCCAAUGCAGACACUGGGAUGUUUAGAGCUCAAUCAUUAAUUGUGUGAUAUAAGAGCAGAGGACAUUAUCACCAAUGGCUAACUGACGCUUUCCUUGCUGAAUAGCUCAGCUCACCUCUGAUCGUGUGUGAUGUGAUCCUCUAGUCAAGUACUGUAGAUGAGCGGAUUGAACAUGAGAGUCACCACGGCAUAAAAGAGCACCACCACCUUGUCCUGCUUGGUCAAAUCUGUGGAGCUGGGCUGCAUGUGGGGAGCCAGGGCCAUCCCAUAAGACAUGGAGACCACAACGGGGUGGGAGGCACAGGUCCCAAAGGCUUUGUGGCAUCCCCCAGUGGAG
Molecule: long non-coding RNA, 347 nt
Filed under: Equus caballus (horse)
Lineage: Eukaryota; Metazoa; Chordata; Mammalia; Perissodactyla; Equidae
Description: lncRNA (ENSECAG00000044728.1)
Source: RNAcentral